CAACUUUCAACAAUGGAUCUCUUGGCUCUCGCAUCGAUGAAGAACGCAGCGAAAUGCGAUAAGUAAUGUGAAUUGCAGAAUUCAGUGAAUCAUCGAAUCUUUGAACGCACCUUGCGCUCCUUGGUAUUCCGAGGAGCAUGCCUGUUUGAGUGUCAUG
Molecule: ribosomal RNA, 157 nt
Filed under: Tricholoma caligatum
Lineage: Eukaryota; Fungi; Basidiomycota; Agaricomycetes; Agaricales; Tricholomataceae
Also listed under: 1 other name
Description: 5.8S ribosomal RNA
Rfam family: 5.8S ribosomal RNA
About the family: 5.8S ribosomal RNA (5.8S rRNA) is a component of the large subunit of the eukaryotic ribosome. It is transcribed by RNA polymerase I as part of the 45S precursor that also contains 18S and 28S rRNA. Functionally, it is thought that 5.8S rRNA may be involved in ribosome translocation.
Source: RNAcentral